This 405-nucleotide unclassified non-coding RNA is filed under the name soil metagenome. RNAcentral describes it as "partial contains 5.8S ribosomal RNA, internal transcribed spacer 2, and large subunit ribosomal RNA". The stretch from base 1 to 121 matches the Rfam family "5.8S ribosomal RNA", at positions 35 to 154 of the family's 154-position model. The record is from RNAcentral.
GAUGAAGAACGUAGCGAAAUGCGAUAAGUAAUGUGAAUUGCAGAAUUCAGUGAAUCAUCGAAUCUUUGAACGCACCUUGCGCCCUUUGGCCAUUCCGAAGGGCAUGCCUGUUUGAGUAUCAUGAACACCUCAACUCUUUAUGGUUUUCCAUGAUGAGCUUGGACUCUGGGGGUUUUGCUGGCUCACAGUCGGCUCCUCUAAAAUGAAUCAGCUUACCAGUGUUUGGUGGGUAUCAUGGGUGUGAUAACUAUCUACGCUUGUGGUUUUUCCACCAGGUAACCUUCAGCAGUGGAGGUUCGCUGGAGCUCAUAGAUGUCUCUCCUCAGUGAGGACAGCCCUUUGAAUGUUUGAUCUCAAAUCAGGUAGGAGUACCCGCUGAACUUAAGCAUAUCAAUAAGCGGAGGA